AUGGCACUAAGUUUAUAAGAUACAAGAAACAGGUGGUCCACUGCUGGAAAGUGGGUGUCCCUUUCCAUAAGCACCGAGUUUCUCAGUGCCUCUUGCUUUGAUUCCUACAAAAUGUACAAAAGUCCACAUAUAUUUGGCAACUGAUCAAAACCCAUUUCUGUACUGUAACCAUUACGUCGUUAGAGAUUCUUAAUUGGGUUUCUGUGAAUCAAUGGCCAGGGGUUCAGGGAGUAAUGGGACUGCAAGUGAGAGAAUUCCACUUUUGAAUGAUGAGGUUGAUUCAAAGAGAAGUGAUGCCCAAUCUACAGAUGGUCGAGUUAGUGAUCUUGAGCAUGGUGAUGCAGUGCAGGCUGCAAAUGUUGGGUUUUGUAGAGUUCUCUCAUUGGCAAAGCCAGAUGCCGGGCAGCUGGUUCUUGCUACUGUUGCAUUACUUAUUGCAUCCACAUCAAGUAUUCUAAUUCCAAAAUAUGGGGGUAUGAUAAUUGACAUUGUUUCAAGAGAAGUGAGAACACAUGAGCAACAAAUUGAAGCAUUAGAUGCUAUCAGGGAUACUAUAUUAGAUAUUGUGGUAAUCGUUGUUAUAGGAUCAAUAUGCACGGCGCUGCGUGCAUGGUUAUUUUCUUCAGCUAGUGAAAGAGUUGUCGCUCGUUUGAGGAAGAACUUAUUCAGGCAUCUUAUUCAACAAGAAAUUGCAUUCUUUGAUGUAACACGAACUGGGGAGCUCCUAAGUCGGCUAUCUGAAGAUACCCAAAUUAUAAAAAAUGCAGCUACUACCAACCUGUCUGAGGCCUUGCGUAAUCUUUCCACCGCAUUUAUUGGUCUGGGCUUCAUGUUCUCAACAUCUUGGAAGCUGACAUUAUUGGCAUUGGCAGUUGUACCAGCCAUUUCAGUUGCUGUACGCAAGUUUGGGCGUUAUCUUCGCGAGCUUUCUCAUAAGACUCAAGCUGCAGCUGCAGUGGCUGCUUCAAUUGCAGAGGAAUCUUUUGGCGCUGUUCGGACAGUUAGAUCUUUUGCACAAGAGGAGUUUGAAAUUGGUCGCUAUGGAGAAAAAGUCGAUGAGACUUUGAAGCUGGGAUUGAAGCAAGCUAUGGUUGUGGGCCUUUUCUCUGGAGGGCUUAAUGCUGCAUCCACAUUAUCUGUUGUCAUUGUGGUGAUUUAUGGAGCCAACUUGACCAUCAAAGGCUUCAUGAGUGCUGGUGAUCUCACUUCAUUUAUACUUUAUAGCCUUACAGUUGGGUCCUCUGUGUCUGCCUUAUCUGGGCUAUAUACAACCACCAUGAAAGCUGCCGGAGCAAGUAGAAGAGUUUUCCAGCUUCUAGAUCGUGUUUCCUCUAUGCCCAAAUCAGGAAAUAAGUGUCCUUUGGGGAAUCAAAUUUACCAUGGAAUUGCUGAUUGUGAUGAUAGUGAUCAAGUUGGUGAUGUGGAAAUUGAUGAUGUUUGGUUUGCAUAUCCUUCUCGUCCUAACCAUAUGGUUCUCCGGGGAGUUUCGCUUAAAUUGACACCAGGUUCUAAGGUUGCUCUUGUUGGUCCUAGUGGUGGUGGAAAAACAACAAUUGCAAACUUAAUUGAAAGAUUUUAUGACCCUCUCAAGGGAAAGAUCCUGCUUAAUGGGUUCCCAUUGGUGGAAAUCUCACAUCAAUAUCUGCACAAACAGGUUAGUAUAGUGAGCCAAGAACCUGUGCUAUUUAACUGCUCCGUGGAAGAAAACAUUGCAUAUGGAUUGAGCGGAAAGGCUAGCAGCAGUGAUAUAGAAAAUGCAGCUGUAAGAAAAUGGCAAAUGCGCAUGAAUUUGUAUCAAAAUUUCCUGAAAAAUACAUGACUCAUGUGGGGGAACGUGGUUUGAGGCUUUCCGGAGGUCAGAAACAGAGGAUUGCAAUUGCAAGGGCAUUGAUGAUGAACCCAAAAGUGCUACUCCUGGAUGAAGCUACAAGUGCUCUGGAUGCUGAGAGUGAAUACCUGGUUCAGGAUGCCAUGGACUCUCUAAUGAAGGGUAGGACGGUGUUGGUCAUAGCCCAUCGUCUCUCGACAGUGCAGAGUGCAGAUACGGUGGCUGUUAUAUCAGACGGGCAGAUUGCGGAGAGUGGGUCCCACCAAGACCUACUUGAUCAUGGUGGGAUCUAUACAGCACUAGUGCGUAGGCAAUUACAGGGGCCCAAAGCUGAUUUUUAGCCUUUUGCUAUCUUUAUUUUGUAUCUCGCAUUCUUGGGGCCAGGAAGGCUUUUGCAUCGUGGCAAUUAUAUUUUCUCCAUUUACUGAAAAAUUGCACUAGAGAAUUAAUUCAAAGAUUGAAUUGAUCUCUAAGCACGUUAAGAAUUUCGUUUAUGUUAGGAUAUUUUUUAUGGAAAAACUGCAUUUAUGCCA
RNA transcript from Amborella trichopoda, 2361 nucleotides. It is a transcript of the gene named transporter associated with antigen processing protein 2, with no coding region annotated. The record is from RefSeq and is a predicted model, not a curated record. NCBI's taxonomy places the organism in Eukaryota, Viridiplantae, Streptophyta, Magnoliopsida, Amborellales, Amborellaceae.